RNAcentral lists this long non-coding RNA (10073 nucleotides) under Medicago truncatula (barrel medic). RNAcentral's name for it is "lncRNA gene44060". The record is from RNAcentral. Lineage: Eukaryota; Viridiplantae; Streptophyta; Magnoliopsida; Fabales; Fabaceae.
CCAAAUUUCAUUGACCCCGUUUAAUUCAAAAUACUUGCUACAACAAUGGGAUUAUAUCGUAACAAAAAAAAAAAAGGAAAAAAAAGGGGAUUAUGUAUGUUGUGUAUUAUUAGAUACAUUAUUAUUAAUGACCCUUGUGGAGAGCUAUUUGAGCCGGAAAGAUACAUCCAGUAUUUAGAGUUAAAUGGUUACAGGAGAACAAUUGUUCUAAAUACAACACACGCAACUACUAAGAACCGGGAAAUAGACAUAGCAGCAAGAUUAUUUCAUUUGUAGAUAAGCUCAGAACUUCUUGAUGAAUUCAUAAAUGUGAUUACUUAUUUCCUCUGCUGCUUCUUGAUUGUUGAAGUGCGCCACUCCUUUUUGGAUAAUCACUUCUUCCAGAUUGGGAACAUCUUCCUUGAAUCCCCCACCAUGGAUAUACUCCUUCAUGUUUAGUGAGGUGUACACCAUAUCCAAAUCACCUGUAAUGAAUUUCACAGGCACCUUGAUUUUCACUCCAUUCCAUGGCGCCAUCAGCUCCCAAUUUCUGCCAUACAAGUAAAAAUGCAUCUUUCAUUAGAAUUGGGAUCUCUGUAUAUGAAACACUAACACAUACAUCGAAAACAACAAUAAACACAAACAUUGGACACGACAUUGACAAGUAAAUACCAGUAACAGUUUUAAAAAUGGAAGUGAUUGAAUAUAACAACAUGUGUCGGUGUUGGAUAUCAACACAUAUCCAACACCGAAACACGUCUUCAAACUGAAAUGUUAAUGCCACAUAGAUUAUUGUCAUGUUGUUCAAACAUUAUACCAAAAAGAAUUGUCAACAUAUAUUUGAGGAAAACAACCAGAGGUAGCACAAAGAAUCAAAAAGAUUACAAGUUAAAGUUUCUGUAGUAGUUCAAUGCUCCAGUGAAGCCUGUUUUCUCAAAUUUGGAGACAAAAUAAGUAAGGUCAUCUUCUGUAAGCCAAGAGGGUAAGGUGUCAGGAGUAUCUGAGUUGAAUCCAGUUCCAAACUCUCCCUUGGGAAAUAUUGGAGGACCAGUUUUCCGAGUUGUGAGGGUACUUUUCAUCACAUAUGCAGUGCCAACUUCAGCCAUCUCAGCUUCCAUUUUGCCUGGUUCCUGUGAUACGGACCAAACGCAAUUAUGUUAUUCAGAUCUAUCAUUACAGCAACUUUCCACUUCAUUUUAGACAAACAAAGAACUUUGUUUCAAAACAUUAUAUUGGAGCUUCACGAGACGAUUCAUUAACUUCUACAUUCAUGACCAUUAUGAUGUCAUACAAUUCUAAAGUUGAUGCAGAUCCAAAAUAAGAGAACUUCACCCUAACGUAUUCAAUAAUCAAUAUUACUCUCUGACAAAAUGCACAACAUGUCAUUCUAUAUUAAGUUGAGUCAUGCUUGCUUUUAGAAUUAACUGAUCAACCAUAAGGUUUCCUCUUUUGAUUUAGACUCUACUUAAAUAAACAUGUUAAUCAAGUAUUAAAUCCACUUGGGUUGGUUUGGUGGUGUUGUCUUGGAACCGGCAUGUGUUCCUUUCAAGGUGAGAGUUCGAUUUUCGCAUGCCAAUUUCGGUCUGCUAGUUUGACAUCUUCAAAAAAAUCUUGAUCAAGUGCUUAUAGUAGAAGAUAAACUAAAGUUAAACUGUUCUUGUAUAAGUUUUAAGUUAUUUUCACAUACUAUUCGAAGAGCUUAUGAAAAUAAGCAUCUCAAAACAACCUCCUAAAUUCUAUUAAACAAUCUCACAAACCAUAAAUCCUCUCAAAUAAAUCUAUCCAAACAGGCGUUUAGUAAUCCACUAAUCCUACAUCAGUAUCAUGUCAAUAACCCACAUAAAAAACCACUCAAACUAAACUGAUAAGUGUAAUCCCCGAAUUAAGUUAUUAAGUAUUACUCUCUCCUACAUCUAUAUAUAUAAAAUAAAAAAUAAAAAAUAAAAAAUAAAAAGUGAUCUCUAAUAUUUUAUAAUUAGUAAAUCUUGACAUUUGCCAAACUCGUUAGGGAUUGCUUAAAGUAAAUUAGGGGGGCUACAGAGGCAAGGGUAGAAAAGUGGUAAUAAAGAAAUAGAAGAACCUGAAAUCUACAUAUGUAAUAAUCAUCUCCAUAAGCAGCAUGCAUGGCAUCAACGGUCCUGAUUUUGGGGUUUCUACGGAGUAGUGGAACACUGAGACAGACAUAAGCUUUGAUUCUUUCAGGGCGAAACAUACAAAGAUACCAACCAAUGAUAGCACCCCAAUCAUGAGCAACAAGAAACACUUGAUCAACACCCAGAAAAUCUAUAAGUGCAACAAGAUCACCUACUAUGUGAAAACCUGUGUAGCUACUAACUGAAGACGGAGCAUCGGUGUCACCAUAGCCACGGAGAUCGGGAGCAACAGCACGGUAGCCGAGGGAGCUGAGAGCUACAAUCUGGUGGCGCCAUGAAUACCAGAGUUCUGGGAAGCCAUGAAGGAACAAGACAACAGGUCCUUCUUUACCUUUCUCAGCAAUAUGCAUUUUGAUUCCAUUCACUUCCACUCUUCUGUGUUCUAUUCCUUCCAUCUGUGUUCUUUUUUUUGGGCUCAGAGCAACUGUGAAGAAAUUUCAAUAUUUUGAUGCUGUUGAUACUUGAUGAUACUUUAUAAUGGACAAAUGAGCCGACAUAAAUAGGUGGCUUAAUAAUAAUACAAUUAAAAUAUGUUGUUAGUGAUAAUUUUAUUUUUUUUUACACAUGUUAGUGAUAAUUAUUAAACACCACUAUAUUCCCACUUAGAAAUAUUUAUUUUUGUUGGCACCGAUUUUCAUUUGUUUCCGCUUGUUUGUCAAUUUCUCCGCCUAACUAACCAAUUUUCGUUUUGGUUACGAAAGUCAAAUCAAAAUUCUCUUGUUUGCUAAUUUAGGCGACGUUUAAAAUGGGAGCUCUCUAUUUUUUCUUUGAUGAAAAGCUUUAAUUCACCAUUGACAUUCAUAUGAUAUGAUCAGUAGAAUGACAUUCAGUGUAAACUUAUUGUUUUUAAGUGUUAGAAACAACAGGGUGAUUUAUCUACAUACACUCUGACAGAUAAGUUAGUAUUUAAGUUAGAAAGGAGGUCAAGAGUUAGAAUAGAUCGUAUUUAGAAGACAAUAUAAAGUAUUCUUAUGGAGGGUGGCGCAAGUUGCCGAUAUCUGACAUUCUUACUCUUUGCUCGUCCGUUACUGUCGAGCCGGAUUGACAAUGAUGGAGGCAGUUACGAUUCCUUGGCUUGAAUUGUUGCCCGAUUGCUGAGAGCACCCCUCAUGGAGGGGUGGGGGGUUUGAAUAUGUGUUGCUCCAUUCGAUUGUUCUUUUUAGAUGUGGUUUGAUAUUUGAUUUAUGUGUUAUGUUUCGUUUUGAUUUUUAAGGUACAAUUGAUUAAUUAUACUCUUUCUUCAUUGAAUUCGUAAAUGUAAUUACUGAUUUCCUCUUCAGCUUCUUGAUUGUUGAAGUGAGCAACUCCUUUUUGAACAAUCACUUCCUCCAAAUUCAGCACAUCUUCCUUGAAUCGUCCUCAAUGGAUAUACUCCUUCAAGUUAAACUAGGGGAGUGUUUGGAUGUCAAAAACUGAGUUUUUUUAUGUUUUAAAUCAAGUGUCAAGUAUGUGAGAACAUGAUUUAUGUUAUGGUAUUAUUCAGAAGCAGAUUGAAACGUAUCUUUCGAUACCUAGCAAUCGAAAGAUAUCUUUUGAUCAUAUCAUAUCAUAACUUCCGGUCGUUAUAUAAAUGACAAUUUUAGAAUUUUUAGGGGCCUAUGAGGAAGUAAGGUGACCCAAAGAGCGAUUUCCUGACAAUGAAAACUUCAUAUCGACACAAGUAAAAUACUAAAAUGUCUCCAGCGGCCGUUAACAACCGCUCAAUGUUACGGCGGCAGUUAACUACCGUUCACACCAGUGCACUCUGCACUAGUGCACUGGUUUUUCUAGGAACUUUGGCCUGUUUUUGCAUCCAAUUGGAAAUUAAAGCAAAUAACCAGGAUAUGUCGGGAAAUUAAAACGUACGUACAAAAUAAUAUUUAAUAGAUAAAAUUAAAAUGCAAGAACUAAUAUGAAAGGUAUGUCGGAAAAUGUCAUACAAAUACCAAAAUGUAAGGAACAUGUCAUAAUUAUACGUCACAGUAAAAAAGUACAUAAAAAAACCCUAAUCAUAAUCAACCCUGCUGCCUAGCAUGCCUCGGCCCCCUGCGCCGCCUGGCAAUCUGAUACGUAAGGGCAGGGCGACUAGUACCGGCUAUCCGCAUCACCUACUGGACAAUCUCCUCUUUAGUCAUCUCGGCUUGCCUAGCCACAAUAUCGCCAACUAUAUGCACCACAUCCCGGAUGAUCGUCAGUGUGUCAGGCAUCUCCCUGGCAUGCUCCUCCUCUAUGAUCUGCUCCACGUUCGCCGGCCUGGGAGGAGAUCCUUCAUCAGGUGGGAGAAUACGAGGGUGAGAGACUUUGGCAUACCAAACCAUGUAGCCAGGCACAUGAUGCCAUGGUCUCUCACACGCAUCUCCCCAAGCAGUAAAGAACCACGCCUGAGCGUUUUGCAGCACGGUUGUGAGAUCAUGCGUAGGCACCUGAGCGACAGAUGACGGAUGUCUGGAAACAUCUUGUACAUAGAAAAGUUGCAUCUUUACCCGCUCAGGUAAAUGACGGUACACCAUAUCCUUCCCGCACAUCAGCCAUCCCGAGUAAGUGACAAUAAGCUGAAAUGGAUGCACGACUCUGUGAUCACCAUAAGUAGAAAAUCUGACGUCAUCCACCUAUAAGCGAUCAAGCAGUAAGCGAUAAUGGUACACAUCAGUAUAUCAUCUGCUAGUAAGCCAUCUCCCAGCGUAUGGUCUCUCUGGCGUCCACUCCUUGUUUUUCUUCCUUGGGUACGGACCUAACAAAUGCUCCAAAAUCUAUCAGUGCAACAAAUAAAUAAAAUACAUUAUAAAUAUUAAAAUUAAUUAAGAAAUGCAGUCUAACUUAGGAAAAAAUAAUCUAACAUGAUAAUAAAAAUUAUAAAAUAAAUUCAUAAAUAAAUGAAGAUAAAUAUUAAAUUAUUACCAUAAAAAGAGUUGUACUCCCAGCCAUCGUUCUGUUAUUCAGAAUAACAGAAUCAUCCACAUAGUCGAACAGGUACGCUAAGGCCAUCCCUCCCCAUGACCACUUCCCAAUCGCCUGCAAGUCUGCCAUACAAUCAAGAUAUAUCAAGUCGAUGUGUCUGUUCGUUUUGUUAGUGAACAUCGCACAACCGACGAGAUAUAGAAGAAAACUCCUCACACACCACUGUCUCCUCCUGGCUCUCUCCUGCAGCUCCUCCCUCGUCUGUGGGUCGUCCAGCCGUCUAGCCUCUGUCAGGUGGUCUUCAUAAACCCGCUUCAGUGUGGGAUAACUGAUAUGACCAGCAGACUCAGUCCUAAUCUCAGAUCUAGCAUCAACAUCUGACAUGCCCAACAACCUGGUCAUCAAAUCAAUCACACGCUCCUGACUCAUUGCCUCAUCGUGGUCCAGCAUGCGGCUGUGAAUAGGAAUGUGUAGGAGAUUAUGCACAUCGUCCAAAGUGAUCGUCAUCUCCCACACAGGUAAAUGAAAACUAUUGGUCUCCGUGUGCCACCUCUCGCACAUAGCACGUAUCAUGGCAUGGGUCACGGUAGAAUACCCCGUGUAUAUCAAAUCAUGUAGGCCAUACCCCUCCACAGGCUCCCAAAACCACCUCAAACCCGCCUCCGGCUUACCAAGCUCUUUCAUCUUUUUCCCUGCAUUUAUACACUUGUAGCCCGUCUGAUCAUGCCACAUUUGAAAUUCAAAUUAAUUAAGACAUCGUCACUAAUUUAUAUAAUUAAAACACUUACGCUACAUUCUUUUAAAUAAUUAAAACACUUACGCUACAUAAUAUUAUAUAAUUAAAACACUUACGCUACAUAAUAUUAUAUAAUUAAAACACUAACGCUACAUUCUUUUAAAUAACUAAAACACUUACGCUACAUAAUAUUAUAUAAUUAAAACACUUACGCUGAGUCUGAGGCUCAGGUUCACCCUCAGGAAUAACAUUCUCUGCCUCCAUAUAAUCCGCCACAAAAUCCUCUGGCACCUCCGCAUCACCUGCCACCUCCUCAUCCUCUACCUCGUCCUCCGGCUGAUAAAACAUUAUAUCCUCCUCCAUCCGAUCAUAUCCUUGAAAUCCCUCCGAAUACUCAUACGUCUAUAUCGGAUCAACCACCUGGGAGGAGUAAUCCAUAUGUGGCUGUGAGCUCUCUACACCUGGCCUUGCGUCCCUCCGCUUCCGAGUCUUCGGGACAUACGGAUUUUGGUCCACCUUUUCCUUCUGAGCGCUAGCGGUACUCGCCGCUUUGCCUUUGCGCAUCCUAUCCUCUCUAAUAACCCGCUGCCGCUCAUCCUCGUCCCUAGCCAUAUCUGUUCAAAACAAAUUUAAAAAAACACAAAUAAGUGGACAAUGUAUUUAAGAAUACAAUGUAUUUAAGCAUUUCCUUAAAAACUAUAUACUUUUAAGGCAUUUAGCAUAGCAUAAAAAUCCAACCAAGUAACAUGUAACAUAUAAAAAAUGAAACUUAAGCAUUCAUACAAAUCCACACUCCUUCAAAAAAAAAAAAUACAAAUUCACACUUAGAAUCCAAGCUUAUAAUAUACCACAUUUAUAUAACAUACCACAUUAUGUCAUUCUUCAAACUUGCCAAAAAAUUUAAAAAUCCAAGCUUAUAAUAAUUAUAACAUAUAUACUUUAUAAAAUUGAAGAUAUUUGAAAAUAAUUACACAAAAAAAGUAAGAUUUUCUCACUUAUGCAUUUUAUCAAACACCUUAUGAGCAUUCUAAAUUAGGAGCAUAAUUAGUGUUAUUUGAACAUCUAAAGGGCUACAUUGUACCUACAUUGUCUCUAAACAACAAUUACAACAUAAACAAUCCAUCAAAGCAUCUAAAUCAUGCUUAAUUUUCAAUUUUCUAACCUAACUUAAAACUAUCUAAAACUAACAUUUUGCUCAAAUUUAUGAAAACUAACACCCUAAACAAACUACAUUGCAUUUAAAUAGGAAGGAAAUAACUUACUUGUGAAUUAAUUGAUGAAAUUUAGCGCAAAUUCGUGAAAUACAAGUUUGGAGAAAUUUGGAAGUUGAAAUUUUAGUGUUUGUGUUUCUGCAAAAUGGAAAAAUGAGGGUUCUGUUCUCGUUUAUUCACAGAACGUAACGGUUGUUAACAACCGCUGACCCCAGCGGCAGUCAACUGCCGGCGGUUUAAAUAACGGUAGUUAACUACAUCGGAUGUAUUUAUGUAUUUUACUUAUGUCAAUAUGAACUUUCCUUUAGUCAGAAAAACAAUUUUCUUUCCUCUUUCAAACUGUGAGUAUAGUUACCAGGCGGGUACUACAAUUUUUCAAACCGAGUAUAGCUACAAUUUCUGCUGCCUGCUACGGUCUCAUAUACUCAGAUGGAAGAAUCACCGUUAAACACGUCACUAUUAUGAGCAUUGUUGAUGCACCAAAUUUCAUUGACCCCGUUUAAUUCAAAAUACUUGCUACAACAAUGGGAUUAUGUAGUAACCAAAAAAAAAAAAAAACGGGAUUAUGUAUGUUGUGUAUUAUUAGGUACGUUAUUAUUAGUGACCCUUGUGGAGAGCUAUUUUGAACCAGAAAGAUACAUCCAGUAUUUAGAGUUAAAUGGUUACAGGAGAACAAUUGUUCUAAAUACAACACACGCAACUACUAAGAACCCGGAAAUAGACAUAGCAGCAAGAUUAUUUCAUUUGUAGAUAAGCUCAGAACUUCUUGAUGAAUUCAUAAAUGUGAUUACUUAUUUCCUCUGCUGCUUCUUGAUUGUUGAAGUGCGCCACUCCUUUUUGGAUAAUCACUUCUUCCAGAUUGGGAACAUCUUCCUUGAAUCCCCCACCAUGGAUAUACUCCUUCAUGUUUAGUGAGGUGUACACCAUAUCCAAAUCACCUGUAAUGAAUUUCACAGGCACCUUGAUUUUCACCCCAUUCCAUGGUGCCAUUAGCUCCCAAUUUCUGCAAUACAAGUAAUAAUGCAUCUUUCAUUAGAAUUGGGAUCUCUGUUUAUGAAACACUAACACAUACAUCGAAAACAACACUAAACAAAAACAUUGGACACGACAUUGACAAGUAGAUACCAAUAACAGUUUUAAAAUAGGAAGUGAUUGAAUAUAACAUGUGUCGGUGUCGGAUAUCAACACGUAUCGAACACUGGGCACGUCUUCAAACUGAAAUGUUAAUGCUGCAUAGAUUAUUGUCAUGUUGUUCAAACAUUUUACCAAAAAGAAUUGUCAACAUAUAUUUGUGGAAAACAACCAAAGGUAGCACAAAGAAUCAAAGGAUUACACGUUAAAGUUUCUAUAGUAGUUCAAUGCUCCAGUGAAGCCUGUUUUCUCAAAUUUGGAGACAAAAUAAGCAAGGUCUUCUUCUGUAAGCCAAGAGGGUAAGGUGUCAGGAGUAUCCGGGUUGAAUCCAGUUCCAUACUCUCCCUUGGGAAAUAUUGGGGGACCAGUUUGGCGAGUUGUGAGGAUAUUUUUCAUCACAUAUGCAGUGCCAACUUCAGCCAUCUCAGCUUCCAUUUUGCCUGGUUCCUGUGAUACGGACCAAAAGCAAUUAUGUUAUUCAGAUCUAUACAGCAACUUUCCACUUCAUUUUACAUAAAGUCAUAAACAAAGAAUUCUGUUUCAAAAUAUUAUAUUGUAGCUUCACGAUACGAUUCAAUCUGAGUAGGGUCAUACUUUAGGAAUGAUAUGUAGCUAAAAGAAAGGAAAACAGAUUAAUUUCUUCAUUCAUGACCAUUAUGAUGUCAUACUAUUCUAAAGUUGAUGCAGACCCAAAAUAAGAGAACUUCACCCUAACAUAUUCAAUAAUCAAAAUUACUCCCUAACAAAAUGCACAACAUGUCAAUCUAUAUUAAACUGAGUCAUGCUUGCUUCUAGAAUUAACUGAUCAACCCAUAAGGUUUCCUCUUUUGAUUUAGACUCCUUAAAUAAACAAGUCAAUCAAGUGUUAAACCCACUUGGGUUGGCCUGGUGGUGUCGUCUUGGGACCGGAGUGUGUUCCUCUCAAACUGAGAGAUUCGAUAUUCUUGUGUCAAUUUCGGUGGGCUAGUUCGAGUUCUUAAAAAAUACCUUAAUCAAGUGCUUAUAGCAAAAGAUAAAAUAAAGUCAAACUGUUUUUAUAUAAGUUUGGUAUUUUCAGAUGCCAUUUGAAGAGCUUAUGAAAAUAAGAAUCUCAAAAGAACCUCCUAAAUUCUAUUAAACAAUCUCACAAACCGUAAAUCCUCUCAAUUAAAUCUAUCCCAACAGGCGUUUAGUAAUCCACUGAUCCUACAUCAGUAUCAUGUCAAUAGCCCACAUCAAACACCACUCAAACAAAAGUAUUAUUCUCUAGUCUCUCCUACAUCUAUAUAUAUAAAAUAAAAUAAAAAAGUGAUCUUUAAUGUUUUAUAAUUAGUAACUCUUGACAUUUUUACAAACUCGACUCAUAAAAUAUUAUGGAUUGCUUAAAGUAAAUUAGGGGAUACAGAGAGAAAGGUAGAAAAGUGGUAGUAAAGAAAUAGAAGAACCUGAAAUCUAGAGAUAUAAUAAUCAUCUCCAUAAGCAGCACGCAUGGCAUCAACGGUCUUGAUUUUGGGGUUUCUACGGAGUAGUGGAACACUGAGACAGACAUAAGCUUUGAUUCUUUCAGGGCGAAACAUACAAAGAUACCAACCAAUGAUAGCACCCCAAUCAUGAGCCACAAGAAACACUUGGUCAACACCAAGCAAAUCUAUAAGUGCAACAAGGUCACCUACAAUGUGAAAACCAGUGUAGCUGCUUAUUGAAGAUGGAGCCUCGGUGUCACCAUAGCCACGCAGAUCUGGAGCAACGGCGCGGUAACCGAGGGAGCCAAGAGCUACAAUUUGGUGGCGCCAUGAAUACCAGAGUUCUGGGAAGCCAUGAAGGAACAAGACAACAGGUCCUUCUUUUCCUUUUUCAGCAAUAUGCAUUUUGAUUCCAUUCACCUCCACUGUUCUGUGUUCUAUUCCUUCCAUCUCUGUUUUUUUCUUCAGAGCAACUAUGAAGAAAUUUUCAAUAUUUUGAUGCGGUUGAUGAUACUUUAUAACGGACAAAUGAACCGACAUAAAC